This 854-nucleotide ribosomal RNA is filed under the name uncultured archaeon. RNAcentral's name for it is "bacterial SSU rRNA". It matches the Rfam family "Archaeal small subunit ribosomal RNA", at positions 85 to 922 of the family's 1478-position model. The record is from RNAcentral.
ACGGCUCAGUAACACGUGGCUAACCUGCCCUUGGGACAAGGACAACUCCGGGAAACUGGGGCUAAUCCCUGAUAAGUGAGAACUCCUGGAAUGGAUUCUCGCUCAAAGGACGUUUAGACCAUGCUUCUAGGCGUCGCCCAAGGAGGGGGCCGCGACCGAUCAGGUUGUUGGUGAGGUAACGGCUCACCAAGCCUUUAACCGGUACGGGCCGUGAGAGCGGAAGCCCGGAGAUGGGCACUGAGACAAGGGCCCAGGCCCUACGGGGCGCAGCAGUCGCGAAAACUCCGCAAUACACGAAAGUGUGACGGGGCCAUCCCGAGUGCCAUCCGCUGAGGAUGGCUUUUCCCCAGUGUAUAAAGCUGGGGGAAUAAGGAGAGGGCAAGCCUGGUGUCAGCCGCCGCGGUAAUACCAGCUCUCCGAGUGGUGGGGAUGUUUAUUGGGCCUAAAGCAUUCGUAGCCUGCUUGGCAAGUCCUCCGUUAAAUCCACCGAUUCAAUCGUUGGGCUGCGGGGGUUACUGUCCAGCUAGGGGGCGGGAGAGGCCGACGGUAUCCCCGGGGUAGGGGUGAAAUCCUAUAAUCCCGGGAGGACCACCAGUGGCGAAGGCUGUCGGCUAGAACGCGCUCGACGGUGAGGGAUGAAAGCUGGGGGAGCGAACCGGAUUAGAUACCCGGGUAGUCCCAGCUGUAAACGAUGCAGGCUAGGUGUUGGCGCGGCUACGUGCCGCUCCAGUGCCGCAGGGAAGCCGUUAAGCCUGCCGCCUGGGAAGUACGGCCACAAGGCUGAAACUUAAAGGAAUUGGCGGGGGAGCACCACAAGGUGUGAAGCUUGCGGUUUAAUUGGAUUCAACGCCGGG